This 464-nucleotide ribosomal RNA is filed under the name uncultured bacterium. Its description in RNAcentral is "partial 16S ribosomal RNA". It matches the Rfam family "Bacterial small subunit ribosomal RNA", at positions 28 to 507 of the family's 1533-position model. The record is from RNAcentral.
GACGAACGCUGGCGGCGUGCUUAACACAUGCAAGUCGAACGGUAAGGCCCUUUCGGGGGUCCACGAGUGGCGAACGGGUGAGUAACACGUGGGUGAUCUGCCCUGCACUUUGGGAUAAGCCUGGGAAACUGGGUCUAAUACCGGAUAGGACUACGCGAUGCAUGUCGUGUGGUGGAAAGCUUUUGCGGUGUGGGAUGGGCCCGCGGCCUAUCAGCUUGUUGGUGGGGUGAUGGCCUACCAAGGCGACGACGGGUAGCCGGCCUGGGAGGGUGUCCGGCCACACUGGGACUGAGAUACGGCCCAGACUCCUACGGGAGGCAGCAGUGGGGAAUAUUGCACAAUGGGCGCAAGCCUGAUGCAGCGACGCCGCGUGGGGGAUGACGGCCUUCGGGUUGUAAACCCCUUUCAGCACAGACGAAGCGUAAGUGACGGUAUGUGCAGAAGAAGCACCGGCCAACUACGUG